UUUGGAAAGUGUCAACAACGGGAGGAUCACGAUGAGUCAGGAAAGGUUCAUUAGCCCAAGAAGCAGCAGCUUUGCUCUCUUCAUCUGAUCUAGGCCACAGUUCAAAGAAUCAUAACUCAAAGUCAAGAUCAAUCCCGUAGUUCAGGGCCACAACUGAGAAGAACAUCCUCUUUCGACAGAACAUGGGAGGAUCGGAGACCCGUGGCGGAAUCUGUAGCUAAUGAGCUUGUUCUACAUUCCAUGGAGCAUCAAAGUGAAUCCUCUAAUAGUAUUAGAUUAAAGAGUAAUUUUGGGCUUAGUGUGUGGUUGAGAAAAUGAUCCGGCGUCGAUCUCUUAAGUAUUUCGUUAUUAUUUGUCAAAUCUUUUCUCACACACGUUUAUUUGUUUCUGAAACCUCUUAACGAACUACCUAACAAUAUAAUAUUAAUUUUUU
Molecule: long non-coding RNA, 433 nt
Organism: Brassica rapa (field mustard)
Lineage: Eukaryota; Viridiplantae; Streptophyta; Magnoliopsida; Brassicales; Brassicaceae
Source: RefSeq, a predicted model, not a curated record